RNAcentral lists this ribosomal RNA (406 nucleotides) under uncultured bacterium. RNAcentral's name for it is "bacterial SSU rRNA". It matches the Rfam family "Bacterial small subunit ribosomal RNA", at positions 355 to 775 of the family's 1533-position model. The record is from RNAcentral.
UUAGGAAUCUUGCGCAAUGGGCGAAAGCCUGACGCAGCGACGUCGCGUGACCGAUGAAGUCUUUCGGGAUGUAAAGGUCUUUUUUGGGGGAAGAAGGAUGUGACGGUACCCCAAGAAUAAGCCCCGACUAACUACGUGCCAGCAGCCGCGGUAAUACGUAGGGGGCGAGCGCUGUCCGAAUUUACUGGGCGUAAAGCGCGCGUAGGCGGAUUAUUAAGUCGGGGGUGAAAUCCCGAGGCUCAACCUCGGAACUGCCUCCGAGACUGGUAGUCUUGAGGUAUGGAGAGGGAAGUGGAAUUCCUGGUGUAGCGGUGAAAUGCGUAGAUAUCAGGAGGAACACCUGUGGCGAAGGCGGCUUCCUGGCCAUAUCCUGACGCUGAGGUGCGAAAGCCAGGGGAGCGAACGG